RNAcentral lists this ribosomal RNA (654 nucleotides) under Streptococcus anginosus. RNAcentral describes it as "bacterial SSU rRNA". It matches the Rfam family "Bacterial small subunit ribosomal RNA", at positions 76 to 712 of the family's 1533-position model. The record is from RNAcentral. Lineage: Bacteria; Bacillati; Bacillota; Bacilli; Lactobacillales; Streptococcaceae.
UAGCUUGCUACACCAUAGACUGUGAGUUGCGAACGGGUGAGUAACGCGUAGGUAACCUGCCUAUUAGAGGGGGAUAACUAUUGGAAACGAUAGCUAAUACCGCAUAACAGUAUGUAACACAUGUUAGAUGCUUGAAAGAUGCAAUUGCAUCGCUAGUAGAUGGACCUGCGUUGUAUUAGCUAGUAGGUAGGGUAAUGGCCUACCUAGGCGACGAUACAUAGCCGACCUGAGAGGGUGAUCGGCCACACUGGGACUGAGACACGGCCCAGACUCCUACGGGAGGCAGCAGUAGGGAAUCUUCGGCAAUGGGGGGAACCCUGACCGAGCAACGCCGCGUGAGUGAAGAAGGUUUUCGGAUCGUAAAGCUCUGUUGUUAAGGAAGAACGAGUGUGAGAAUGGAAAGUUCAUGCUGUGACGGUACUUAACCAGAAAGGGACGGCUAACUACGUGCCAGCAGCCGCGGUAAUACGUAGGUCCCGAGCGUUGUCCGGAUUUAUUGGGCGUAAAGCGAGCGCAGGCGGUUAGAAAAGUCUGAAGUGAAAGGCAGUGGCUCAACCAUUGUAGGCUUUGGAAACUGUUUAACUUGAGUGCAGAAGGGGAGAGUGGAAUUCCAUGUGUAGCGGUGAAAUGCGUAGAUAUAUGGAGGAACACCGG